This 490-nucleotide ribosomal RNA is filed under the name uncultured bacterium. Its description in RNAcentral is "partial 16S ribosomal RNA". It matches the Rfam family "Bacterial small subunit ribosomal RNA", at positions 30 to 507 of the family's 1533-position model. The record is from RNAcentral.
AUUGAACGCUGGCGGCAGGCCUAACACAUGCAAGUCGAACGGUAACAGGAAACAGCUUGCUGUUUCGCUGACGAGUGGCGGACGGGUGAGUAAUGUCUGGGAAACUGCCUGAUGGAGGGGGAUAACUACUGGAAACGGUAGCUAAUACCGCAUAACGUCGCAAGACCAAAGAGGGGGACCUUCGGGCCUCUUGCCAUCGGAUGUGCCCAGAUGGGAUUAGCUAGUAGGUGGGGUAACGGCUCACCUAGGCGACGAUCCCUAGCUGGUCUGAGAGGAUGACCAGCCACACUGGAACUGAGACACGGUCCAGACUCCUACGGGAGGCAGCAGUGGGGAAUAUUGCACAAUGGGCGCAAGCCUGAUGCAGCCAUGCCGCGUGUAUGAAGGAGGCCUUCGGGUUGUAAAGUACUUUCAGCGGGGAGGAAGGGAGUAAAGUUAAUACCUUUACUCAUUGACGUUACCCGCAGAAGAAGCACCGGCUAACUCCGUG